This 253-nucleotide ribosomal RNA is filed under the name uncultured bacterium. RNAcentral's name for it is "partial 16S ribosomal RNA". It matches the Rfam family "Bacterial small subunit ribosomal RNA", at positions 524 to 776 of the family's 1533-position model. The record is from RNAcentral.
UACGUAGGGUGCAAGCGUUGUCCGGAAUUAUUGGGCGUAAAGAGCUCGUAGGCGGUUUGUCGCGUCUGCUGUGAAAACUCGGGGCUCAACUCCGAGCUUGCAGUGGGUACGGGCAGACUAGAGUGCGGUAGGGGAGACUGGAAUUCCUGGUGUAGCGGUGAAAUGCGCAGAUAUCAGGAGGAACACCGGUGGCGAAGGCGGGUCUCUGGGCCGAUACUGACGCUGAGGAGCGAAAGCGUGGGGAGCGAACAGG